Molecule: ribosomal RNA, 460 nt
Filed under: uncultured bacterium
Lineage: Bacteria
Description: bacterial SSU rRNA
Rfam family: Bacterial small subunit ribosomal RNA
Source: RNAcentral
CGCUGGCGGCGUGCCUAACACAUGCAAGUCGAACGGAAGCAGAGAUUUCGGUUUCUGCUUUAGUGGCGAACGGGUGAGUAACGCGUGAGAAACCUGCCUCUCAGUGGGGGACAACAGUUGGAAACGACUGCUAAUACCGCAUAACACUUUAGUACCGCAUGGUACAGAAGUCAAAGCUUAAUGUGCUGAGAGAUGGUCUCGCGUCUGAUUAGCUAGAUGGUGGGGUAACGGCUCACCAAGUCGACGAUCAGUAGCCGGACUGAGAGGUUGAACGGCCACAUUGGGACUGAGACACGGCCCAGACUCCUACGGGAGGCAGCAGUGGGGAAUAUUGCACAAUGGGCGCAAGCCUGAUGCAGCAACGCCGCGUGAGGGAUGACGGUCUUCGGAUUGUAAACCUCUGUCCUUGGUGACGAAACAAAUGACGGUAGCCAUGGAGGAAGCCACGGCUAACUACGUG